AAAUCAACUUAGAAAAGAGUAUGGCUAUAGCAGAGAAGAGGGUCUUGAACUGAUAAAUGAUACCUGGAAACUUCCAACAUUUCUAUUGGACCCAAGGGAGAGAAACAAGCAGCAGAUACUUACAGAGGAGCAUCUGGUUCACUAAGAAGAAAACCUAAAAGAGAAUGUGUCAUGACAGAAACCAAAACCAGACUGCACUUCGGGAUGGAGGGAGCAGACAGUUGCAUGGAAUGCUGGCUCAGAAAUGAAGAAAGAAAAUCAGAAAUAGGAAAAAGCUUGCAUAAUUGCUGAAACUAGGGUAGGAAUGCCAACCAUCAACACAUUUCUUCCCACGGUAGUACAGAUGAGGCCACGUUGCUGUAUUUUUCUAGUGAAUUUUGAGAGGAAAUCUUGGUGAAACCUCCCAUGGGAAUGACCAAUGUGGAAGGAGAACAUGGAUUUAGAACUCACUAUUUCACAUGAACCCACUUCGUUCUCCAGAGAUCAUCACCACUUGGAGACGGCCAUGCGGAGUCCAGGUGUAGCUAUGCCAACAAAGGCAUGUGAAGAUGGACAAGAUCCUGCAGUGCAGCUUCACCAGCAAGAGGAAGCAUUCUAACAGUUAAAAGGAGUGUCCUCGGGCCAGGAGCCGUGGCUCACACCUGUAAUCGCAGCACUUUGGGAGGCCGAGGAGAGCGGAUCACGACAUCAAGAGAUGGACAGCAUCCCGGCCAACAUGGUGAAACCCCGUCUCUACUAAAAUUACAAAAAUUACCCGGGCAUGGUGGCACACACCUGUAGUCCCAGCUACUUGGGAGGCUGAGGCAGGAGAAUUGCUUGAACCCAGGAGGCGGAGGUUUCAGUGAGCAGAGUUCACGCCACUGCACUCCAGCCUGGGCAACAGAGCGAGACUCCAUCUCAAAAAAAAAAAGAAAAAAGAAAAAAAAAGGAGUGUCCUCCAUGGCAAAGACAACCCACUUGACCCAGUAGCUGAGGGCAGAGGCAGGGAAGCAGAAACAGACACCUCUCACACUCCAAGACCUCACCUCAUGGAACACUAGAUGUUCAUUCAGAAAACCACAGCAAAUGAAGGUUUUUCUACUGGCCCAUGCAUGACUUUACUUCCAUACCGCCUCCUUCAUUGAAUUAAAUGUGAGAGGGUCAAUCCAGAGAUCCCCAAGCAAAUAAAGGCAGGUACAAGAAGAAUCCAUCCAUAUGACAGUGGACAAAUAAAUGCUCCACUAUCAAAGAAGGAAAUGUCCUUGUUUCAGAAUGGUUACCUUGGAAAAUAUUUUAUUUUGGUAUUGAUGAAAAAAUGUGAAUUAAAAAAGGGAGAUCAAUAUACUGCUUUUAUCAUUUAACUAAUGCCACAAUAAGAAACACAAAGGAACUGCUCAAAACUUAGUGGCCUAGAACAGUCAGCAUUUAUUUAUCCACAUUCAUUUUUCCAGAAGUUGACUAGCUGUCAUUUGGAAUGAUGGUAGCAAUUUGGAAUGAUGGUAGCAAUUUGCCAUGUGUGUCUCUAAUCUAGCCAGCUACAGUGGGCAUUGUCUCUUUAAGAGGCAGGGUUCUAGCCAGGCGCGGUGGCACAGGCUUGUAAUCCCAGCACUUUGGGAGGCCUAGGCGGGUGGAUCACCUGAGGUCAGGAGUUCGCAACCAACUUGACUAACAUGGUGAAACCCCGUUUCUACUAAAUACAAAAAAAAAAAAAAAAAAUUAGCCGGGCGUGGUGGUGCAUACCUGUCAUCCAAGCUACUUGGGAAGCUGAGAUAGGAGAAUCCCUUGUGCCUGGGAGACGGGGGUUGCAGGGAGUCGAGAUUGCGCCAUUGCACUCCAGCCUGGGCAACACGAGAGAAACUCCACCUGAAAAAAAAAAAAAAAAAAAAAAAAAAGGAAGAAAAAGAGGCAGGGUUCCCAGGAAGAAAAAGGAAGAGUCCAAAUCCUCUUUUUGUGUACCCAUCACCAGAAUACUGUACCUAGGCUCAGAAAAACACACCUCACUUCUGCUUUCACUUCUGUUGCCCAAAGAAAGUGACAAGCCCAGCCCAGAUUCAAAGGGUAGAGAAAUAAGGUUCCGCCUGCAAGGUAAUAUUGCAAAUGGCGUAGAUACAGGAAGGAGUGGGAAAUUGGAGCCAGUUUUAUAAUAAACAUAUCAUGGCAUAAAGAAAUUGAAAACAAGAUUUGAAAAAGAAUUUAUUACAAGAAAUAAUUUAUUAAAAGCAUCUACUUGUUUUCUGAAGGGUUAUAAAGAAUAUAUGGAUCCCUUGAGAGUAAAAAUAGAUGAAUGGUUAAGAUGUUAAAUCAAGAGACAAGAGAUUUAUAAAAGAGACUGACUUAAGGAAAACAAUAUAUAGGUAUUACCACACCGUAAUUUAAUAUGCCUAUAAAAGUGGUACAAAUUAUAAUUGACAAUGCAGAUAACUGAGUCUGCAGAGGUCAAGUCUGGAGUCUUUCGGAACACAGAGACAAAAGGCAGCUAUAAAUACAAAUUAGGAGAAAUAGUAAAAGGGAGUCCUGGCAUUAGACCUCUAACAAUCCCACAAUGCUCCUGAAAAUCACAAACAGAGAGAAACACUAUUGUAAGAUUUAACAGAAGAAACUGUUUUAAACUGAGAAAAGAUGUAUACAUGGUAAUCAAAAUCAUUCACUAAG
This 2631-nucleotide long non-coding RNA is filed under the name Homo sapiens (human). Its description in RNAcentral is "HSALNT0122774". Lineage: Eukaryota; Metazoa; Chordata; Mammalia; Primates; Hominidae. The record is from RNAcentral.